AAGAAGAGAUGUAACCUUGUACCUUUUGCAUCAUGUUUUAGCUAGUGAACUUCAGGCAAAAUGUAUUCUAGUCUGAUAACCCGAAACCGAGUGAGCUACUCCAAGACAGCCUAUUAAUUAGGGCACACCCGUCUCUGUUGCAAUAGAGUGGGAAGAGCUUUGAGUAGAGGUGAUAGACCUAUACGAACUUGGUUAUAGCUGGUUGCCUAAGAAUUGGAUUUAAGUUCAGCCUCCUGGCCUCCUCUAUUCACCCAGUAACAUAAAAAUUAUUUACUAAUUAUCUGAAGGAACCAGGAAAGUUAGUCAAAGGGGGUACAGCCCGUUUGAAGCAAGAUACAACUUUAUCAGAAGGGUAAGGAUCAUAGUUAAAUAAGGUCCUUGUCGAAGUGGGCUUAAAAGCAGCCAUCAUCAAAGAAAGCGUUAAAGCUCUGACAUUAAUUUUCAUUUCCUUUUAUACCGAUUAAUAUCUCCCACCCCUCUAAUUCUACUAGGCCUUCCUAUGUUUACAUAGGAGUGACCAUGCUAAUAUGAGUAAUAAGAGGAAUAUAGACCCUCUCCCAGCAUGCGUGUAAAUCGGAACGGACCCCCCACCGAAAAUUAACGAAUCCAAUAGCAGAGGAACAUCGGAAACCAUUAAUAUAUCAAGUAGUAUACCGAUUAAUAUUACCGUUACCCCAACACAGGUGUGCACCCCAGGAAAGACUAAAAGAAAUGGAAGGAACUCGGCAAAUAAUUAUUGAAGCCUCGCCUGUUUACCAAAAACAUCGCCUCUUGUCACUUAAAUAUAAGAGGUCCUGCCUGCCCAGUGACUAUGUUCAACGGCUGCGGUAUUUUGACCGUGCAAAGGUAGCGAAAUCACUUGUCUCUUAAAUGGAGACCUGUAUGAAUGGCUUGACGAGGGCUUAACUGUCUCCCUUUUCCGGUCAAUGAAAUUUAUCUCCCCGUGCAGAAGCGGGGAUAGCUACAUAAGACGAGAAGACCCUGUGAAGCUUUAGACAAAACAAUAGACUAUGUUAAAUUUACACCUCACCGAAUAGAACCCAGUAACCCCUAUUGAAAUGUCUUUGGUUGGGGUGACCAUGGGGAAAUAAAUAACCCCCACGUGGAGUGGGAGAAUAAUUCUCCUGCCACUAAGAACCAUUGUUCUAAGUAACAUUACUUAUGACCAAUAAGAUCCGGAGCCUCCGAUUAACGAACCGAGUUACUCUAGGGAUAACAGCGCAAUCCUCUCCUAGAGACCUUAUCGACGAGUGGGUUUACGACCUCGAUGUUGGAUCAGGACAUCCUAUUGGUGUAGCCGCUAUUAAGGGUUC
RNAcentral lists this ribosomal RNA (1313 nucleotides) under Serranus baldwini (lantern bass). RNAcentral describes it as "partial 16S ribosomal RNA". It matches the Rfam family "Bacterial large subunit ribosomal RNA", at positions 583 to 2574 of the family's 2925-position model. Lineage: Eukaryota; Metazoa; Chordata; Actinopteri; Perciformes; Serranidae. The record is from RNAcentral.